Molecule: ribosomal RNA, 274 nt
Filed under: uncultured bacterium
Lineage: Bacteria
Description: partial 16S ribosomal RNA
Rfam family: Bacterial small subunit ribosomal RNA
Source: RNAcentral
AUACGAAGGGGGCUAGCGUUGUUCGGAAUCACUGGGCGUAAAGCGCGCGUAGGUGGAUCAAUUAGUUGAGGGUGAAAUCCCGGGGCUCAACCUCGGAACUGCCUUCAAUACUGUUGAUCUUGAGACCGAGAGAGGUGAGUGGAAUUCCUAGUGUAGAGGUGAAAUUCGUAGAUAUUAGGAAGAACACCAGUGGCGAAGGCGGCUCACUGGCUCGGUACUGACGCUGAGGUGCGAAAGCGUGGGGAGCAAACAGGAUUAGAAACCCUUGUAGUCC